AUGGCUGCCAUUCAUGCCGACCCACAGAUCUUGGAGGAGCACCUCACCGUCGAGGCCACCAUUGACGCCUCGCGCGUCGACACCGUGAUGCGAUUGGCUGCUUUAAACGAUAGUUCAUGGCGUUUUCUCGAGGCCACCAUUGGUGCCUUCGGCGAAGUCUACGAGGUGUUUUCUCAGCGUGCAUGUGCUUACCUCAUCUCGAGAGCCAGCAGGUUGGUGCCCGGAGCGGCUCAGGCAACUCACCACUACAAUGAGGGCACUGACGAUGUUGAGGCCUCGCCCUCUUCCAUGUCCAAGGAGCCAAUCGUCAUCGAUAUCUCCGACAAUGAGGAGUAG
This 336-nucleotide ribosomal RNA is filed under the name Triticum aestivum (bread wheat). RNAcentral describes it as "partial small subunit ribosomal RNA". Lineage: Eukaryota; Viridiplantae; Streptophyta; Magnoliopsida; Poales; Poaceae. The record is from RNAcentral.